CUGGGCUUUAAUACAUGCAGCUAUUCAGGUUUUAAACUGGGUGACUGCCAUACAUUACUUGAAUGCCUAUUUUGAAGUAUGUACUGGGAAAAGGAAAGCUGAUUUUACAAUUUUGCACAUGUGCGCCUGACAUAUAGUCGAAAUAAUCCAUGGGCAUGUAUCCAAAGUUGCUGUUUCUAAAGAUGUCAAGGAGUUUUUCUGUGCUCAUUUGUCUUACUGCAAAAUGCAAAAACGAUAUAUGAGUGUAGGAAAGUAAUUCAGAAGCUCUGCAUAAUUUUCAGCGCAUCACAUCUCGACGCACAAUGCAGGGAAAGAGGUAAGAUGAAAAGAGCUAAAGAAAUGGAUACAAACCCAGCCGAUCUCUAAAACUAUUCUAUCCUUUGACCAGAAAACUGUGAUUGAUUCCUGUUUCUGAUCAAUCUGUAAAAAUUCUCCUUUUGCUCAAUUGUUCAUCGCGCAGUUUGGAUAAAAAUGAUCAGGAGAAUAAGACUUAUCCUCUGAACAGCUAUUAUUCUACUGAAUUGCAAAAGCCUUAGUCAAAUAUGUGCCAACAUAACAUUAUGGAGUGGCAUUAUGUUACAAGCAAUAAAAUUGCCACAAACUGGGGACAGCAAUGCAAAUGUUGCAAAUUGGUUCAGAACUGUCAAAAAUCUGGUUUUGAAGGACAAGCUCUAUUGCAGAACUCCUAACUUUGUAGAAGUUAUGAAAGACACCGUUCAAGGUAAGAUGAGUUCAAUAGCAAUAGGCAGACAAGGUUCCUUGGGUGAAUUUGAUAUCUGUUAUUCGACCAACCCAAAUGGUUGGAGAAUAGUUAUUAAGCAAGCUUUCGGGUUCAAAAACCCUUCGUCAGGCUAAGGAAGCUUCAGCAGUUGGUGUGUGCUCUUCAAUAGCAAUAGGCAUUUUACCCGACCGAAGCAUAAACGAUAAAUCUAAGAGGAAAAUAACCUACUGUGUUGCUAAUCAAAGCAUUUCAGAGCCUCUUGCUCUCUUGGAAACAUGGAAUGAUGGUCCCCGUUCCACACUGAAGCAGCAAGCUAAGUAUUCUCAGGCUCCUCCAGAACAGGAACACAAACAACAGUUGCCUUGUCUUCCUUGGAGUGCUGGCAUCCAAAUCGAACAGAAAGGUGCAAUUCACCAACACUUGCACCAUUGACAACCUUUGAUAUAUCAUUUAUUUGAUAUUUAAAAAAUACCAGGCAAUAAAAACUGAGUUUGAACUUCUCCAAAGAAGUGAAGUAUUCCAACGUCUUCUCUGAGUAAAUGAGGCAUUUAGCAGCAACAACUGGAAGGAAGGGAGAUGGCAGUGGUUGACUGUUUCAGAAAUGUACAGGAAGGAGCGCAUGGGAUUGCUAUGGAAUUGAGGAAAUUAUGGUGACACUUCCACUCUCCGAUCUCUAUAGCACAGCGCAGUUCUCCGUUUGCUCCAAUUCAGAAUGUCCACAGAAGAACAGGACAUUGAAAUCAGCAUCAGUUUUUGCAUGUGUCAAAGGUAACAAGUGCAGAGGAACACGGAAAUUGAGUAAACGUCAAUUCAUUAAUGAAAAACCAUGCAUCUUACUCAUAACACUUGCAGCAGAUCUGGCUCACAGAAGAACUGAAAAAUGUGAUCUCUUUCCACCCCUGAUUUCUAUAUGUGGCAUUAAGUACAAAGUAGCUGGGGUAAAGUACAAUACUGGCAAACAUUUGAUGUGUUUCUAUGAACUUGGUGAUAGUGAGAGCUGGCAGUACUACGAUGGACUUUUAGAAUAUAAAAAGGUCGGAUGUGAAGAUACACCAGCAACUGAAGAAGAGUUCUCCGAAGCUCUUAGGAAGGAAAGUGUAUAAAGCCAUGUUGUUGCUGUAUGAACAUUUUAGAAAUAAUGAGGACAUCUGCAAGGAUAGACAUGGGUACUGAAAUACAUACCAAAGUGUAACAGGGCACCCCCAAAAAAUGUGUAAUACCCUGUUCUGAGGCCAGUUCUCCCUGCUUUUUCCCACCGUGCCUUGAUGUUCAUAUAUAAAUAAAUAU
Long non-coding RNA from Alligator sinensis (Chinese alligator), 2008 nucleotides. RefSeq lists it as uncharacterized. The record is from RefSeq and is a predicted model, not a curated record. The transcript is spliced from 3 exons. Lineage: Eukaryota; Metazoa; Chordata; Crocodylia; Alligatoridae.